CCAAGUGGACAUCAAUCCCGGAAUAGUGUAAGUAAGAAGAAGACCGGUUAGGAUCACACUAGUCCUGGCUGGCCUAUAACUUCUCAGAA
This 89-nucleotide small RNA is filed under the name Arabidopsis thaliana (thale cress). Its description in RNAcentral is "ATSL087930". Lineage: Eukaryota; Viridiplantae; Streptophyta; Magnoliopsida; Brassicales; Brassicaceae. The record is from RNAcentral.